CAAAGUACUAGUUAGAUGACAUACCUUUUGAUGUAGCUUGAUGUCUUCAAGCUUUAAGAGCUUAGCCCCAAUAGUGUGGAAGCCUCAAAUGGAAUCACAAAUCACCAAAACACCUUGGAAGACUUUAGAGAAUAUGGAUACUUGGUUCUCUCUAGUGAAAUUGGCUAGCCCUUCUUAGUGUACCACACUAGUGCCAAUUUCACCAACCAAGGACAUCUUUAUAUAGUGUGGAGGAUUAGGGUUAAACCCUAAUACCCAUGACCUUUCAUUUCCUAGGAUCCAUGGGUUAAACACUCCAUGGACUAUCCAUGAAAGCUUAGCCCAACCUAAAUGAACUUGGCCCAUUCCAUAUAUAUAAGAGUCCAUAUUUAAUUAGUUCCUUUUGAUCACUUAAUUAAUUAUAAAUUAAUUCUUGAUCAAUACUAAUUAAAUAAUAUGAUUCCAUAUUAAUAUAUUAGAACUUAUAAUAUAUUAAUAUUAAUCAUAAACAUACUAUUCUCAAAAGAUUAUCCAUAUAAAUUGUGUCGGUGAAGUGCAACCCAAAUGGACCAUGCCGGGUCGGGUCAAGUACAUACCAAAUAUAGUUAUGGACUUAGACAUUAAUCCAACAGUCUCCCACUUGGAUAAGUCUAAAACUAUUAUUGCGUAUGACUUCAAACCUAACUGGCAAUCGUAGCUCUUAAAGCCGCUGUCGAACUCUGAUCUUGUCAACGAACUUGUCCAUUAGAUAAGGGAUCAUAUAUUCCUCCAUUCUAGAUAUCAUAUGGACUGAGACAUGGAUUAUAAUCAUUCUCUCUGUCCAUUUGUUGUUUCCCGAUUUCCGAUUUAUGACGACUGACUAAUUGAACAAAUCAAAUCAGUCCUGGCCCGGCCGAGCACUUCCAUUUGUCAUCAUCAAAUCAUCGAGGGGCCCACAGAUAUCGCUUUUAUCCCGAAGGUAAAAGGAAUGGAUAAACUUCGACUCAUAUGGCUUGUUCUACUACUUGUUGAAUCAUACACAAAGGCACGUUUUAUAGCACCGAGUUACCAAAUGCGUUUUCGUGCAAUCAAUGUACAACCAACUCAUAGUAACAACUCAUAUCUCUAGGUUUGAAGAAUAUAAGAUAUUAUCGUCUCAUGAUCACUCGUGAUAAAAUCCAUGAAGUGAUUCCAAUGAGCGCGGGUUGAAUCCAAUACUCAGAACUUAUGAGCACUCAUGAGUGUUGUAGCCCUUUGUCCAACACCUUAGACCUCUACAAGCCAACCCAUGACAGUCUUAAUUCAUAUCUACUUCCAACAUAUGACCGACUGUGGAUGGUUUGAAUAACUUAGUCAUUCCGGAAGAAUAACCUAGUUUAUUCGGGAAGUCAAAACAUGCAAAGUGAAACACAAUAAUAAUUGAAUCCAAUAUGGUAUCAAAACUUAUGAACAUAAAUAAAACACCUUUUAUUUAUCACCAUAUGAUUACACAUUAUUCAUUGUAUACUGUUUCAGCUAUCAACUUUAUUCUUGAAUUUAAAACAAUAGUUGUCCCAUGCUCCAAGCAUGUACACUAUGUUUUCUUAAACACUAGUCAUGCCACACACCAAGUAUGCAUACUAUGUUUGUCUAUGAUCUUUACUUUGUGAACUAGAUCAAUUGAACAUAACUUCAAUGAUUCUCUUUUCACACUCCCAAAUCCUUACUGCAAAUGCAAGAAUUCCAAAUUCAUGCCAUUUACUGAAAUCUGUUAGAUUCUAAACUUAUAUGCAUUGAUCCUCUUGUAAUGAUUAUGCACAAAGUCAGAAAGACUUGACAACAAUCAUUACAGAGUAUUCCAAAGGAGAUCAGCUCCUUGGAAACAUCCUUCUUGCAUUAAGUUUCCUAAUCUUAAACAGAUUGAAAAUUCUAACUUUGAAACAUUUCCAGAUUCCAUUUUGACUAUCACUUCUGAACAAGAGUUGCCUCCUUACAGAUUAUGUCAAUAUGGUCCUUCCAGAAUUAUCACUAUACUUCCAACUGUCCUUGAGCAACCAAUCUUUGGUAAACCUUAGAUUGUCCUCGACAAUUGUUUAAUCCUUUUAGUCAUAUCCAGUUCUAAACCUUUUCCCUUCUUAAUGCCCCAGGCAUUUGGAAAAUUUUAGAACGGAUGAAUAUAGCACAUGUAAUCGAUCCUAUAUCCGAAGCAUAUGGGACACGAUUCAUGAUGUCUCACAUAAAGACUAAACCAGUCUUUUGCUAUAAUAUUUCCAUUUCAAUUUGCCAAGUUCUCAUAAUUCAGAUUAUGAAAAGGGAUGCCGUAAUCAUAAUCGAAUUUUAGAACGCAAAUAAUGGACCCAUAUACAGAAUUUCCUUAUGUUGAGCCAUUCCAACAUGAAAUUCAUAUAUAUCCUUGACUAAAUGAUUAAAACCUCACGAUCUAAGCUUAUAGAUUUGAGAUGAAGCAUAAUUUCCUCUCCCUUAAUUAUAGCAAAACAACUUUUUCCCAAUUGAAACUUUUGUUUUCUAUAAUUAACAUUGCUAACUUGCAAUACUUAUCAUAAUUAUCAUGCUCCCACUAACAUGAUGAUUAUUAGCAUAACACUUAUGCUCCCACUAGCUUUGACAUGUACUCAGAAAUCAGCUGGACUUCUAGAAAUCAAUACUUCAUUGACUUUCUUACCAAAGUUCAGAUUUCUGAUACUAGAUUGUUUUGAUAAAACUUUAUCAAAAUCAUACACCUUCCCUUAGAUAGCACACUUGUGUAUCUAAACAAUUAUGAAGAGGGAUGCCGUAAUCAUAAUGUUUAGACCUUUUUGCCACUUCUCACAAGUCCAAAUUAGUGUGCCGGUUAACCACACGCGCUCCACUAACGACUUUGAGAAUGCAAAUAUCACAAUUGCUAUCUAGCUAAAAUCUACUUAGUGAAAGUGUUUCCUCACCAUCAUUUUCAUGAAUCGGAGAGAAACCUUAUGACACUUAGAUUUAAUGGUGUAUGUGUUCUUAUCCAUGUGAAUUGUCAAAAUCAUAGUCACAAGACAAGGAUAAUGACAAAUCCAAACUCAUAUGGACUGAACUCAAUCUUAAUUUCUUGCCACCUGGCAGCUCAAGGGCCUACCAUUGCUUCCAAGUUGUUGUGCAACAAAUUGAGAACUCUAAGAACUCAUAUGCAAAGCCAACUUUAACUGGAAUGGGCACAGAAUAUGUCAACACGAUAGGUUAUGAACCUCAAGUUGUGUGCUAGUGAAGAACUUUAGGUUUUAUUCUUGAUUAGUUCUUGAGACUUUCAAGACCUUUAAGACUCCCACUGACCUCUUGACCUAUAAGACUCCCUUGUCAAAUAUCCAAGAGAUAGUGUGGAUUCUAAUCAAGACAAACACUUCACACAAUUGGCCUAAGUUGGUCUUUGUUUUAUCCAAAACAUCACAACUUACCAAUUUCAAAUGUACAAGAGUAGAAAACUUUUACUCUUACAUUUGACAAGUGUUUUAAACCUUCUUUAAGACAUGUCACUCAAGUUACAAUCUUGGAGUAUGACUCUAAGACUUGUAUUGGAACGAAGUAUGACUCAUCUUCUUGAUUUAACCAUUUCAACAAUUCAAGAUCCUCUUCUUAGUCAUAAGAAUGCACUAAGAUUUCCUUAGAGAACUAAUUUUGAUAUGGUUUCUUAAUCAUUAAGAUGAUCACAAAACUGAUACUAAAGUACUCUCCCAUCUUUUCAGAUUUGAGAAACUUUUAUCCUUCUGCCUAAUUUGAUUCUUCUUAUUCGCCCUGCCAUACAUUGGAACCUUUUCCAAUGUCUCAGAGUUACACUUAAGCUUGUAAGUAUAAUCAUAUUUACUGAGCUUUAGUAAACUAUGACGAAUAGUCUUAUCAAUCUUUUGUGGUGGACUUAAUCAGUGCACAAGAAUGUGUACUCGAUCCCUUAGUCCUUUACUUGACUCACACAUCCAUGUGGCCGAGUAAUUAGUCUUAAUUUUCCAAAACUUGAAAGUUCUCAUUCAUCAUGCUAUACAACUUGCAUGAUUCCAAGUUCCGGUCCAAUUGAAACUUGGGUGAUGAGAAUCUUUCCUUAUUUGGUAAAUCUAGACAUUACCACAAAUGAAAGAAUCAAUUUCAUAUUUCCACUCUUGCUCUUAAUGGAAUCAUAUAAGCAACAAUUUUUCCUCAAAUGCCAUUGUAAGGAUAUUUUAAAAUAAAUAAAAUCAAAAAUUUUCUUUUAUUUUAAAACUUUGCGGAAAAACUUAUCCUUACAAUCCAUAUGAAAACUUGUUGUUAUCUAUUCCUAAGCAAUAUCUCAUAACUCCUAAGAAGUUGCUCAAGAAUCCGAUCUUCAAACUAUGCGAUAGAAAUCCAUCUACGCCAUCAGAUUCAGCAUAUUCUUUCUUUAAGUUUCUUCACUUUUCUUUGAUUCUUAAAACAUCACCAUGUGACCCAGUCACAUCAUGUAUCAGGAAUCUCAGAAUAGAAACUUAACAGAGUUAGAUAGUGGUCUUUACCUGAAGUAGAGUCAAACUUAUUGACUUUAACAUCCUUAGGUAAAUUUGGCAGCUUCGCAACCAAUGCCCCUUCCCUUGGCAAUAUAAACAUAUGGACCCUUUGAUAAUGGUACACGAGACUAUCACAGACUUAGCUUUUCUCUUUACCAUUUGGUCAACCGAGUUGACUAUGGCCGAUCCCUUUCCAUUGGGAAGAGAAUGCUUUACUGGAUAUCCAAUGUCAUCAUUGUCAAUGUCCAUAAAGUUUUAGGAAGUUGAUCUUAGCAAAUAGAUAAGAUCAUUAAGGGUCUUGUCAUAGUCUGUUUCAUAGGUGUCCCAAAGGAACUCACUAUGUGACUUAGAAAGUGAUUGAACCACCAACUUUCUCAAGACUUUGACACCCAACUCUCCCGGCUUGUCAAUAUGUGACUACAUCUCCAAGAUGUGAUCACACCUAGACCUUGCCUUGCCAAUAGGGCUUGAGUGACCUUAAACUUUUCAAGAACUUGUGGGUUAGGGAGAAUAAUUGGAGGAGGUGAAAGAAGUAUGAUUUCCAAAGGACAUCAUCUUCAUUUAGGAAACCUUGUUUCACUAGAUUUGGGAAGAUCAUAGGUGUCUAUUACAGACAUCUUUUGGGAGAUAUUCAAGAUAGUUGAUUUAAAGUCCUUAAUAUGACACCCAAUAUGAAAUAUUAAGGCUAGGACCCAACAAACUAUUUUAUAACUUAGAAGAGGUAUGCCGUAAUCCAAGCUAUAAAAUAUUUGAAGGUAGGUGAAUGACGAUUCACCAAUUUCCACCAAGAUAAACGAAAUGUAUUAUUAGGUUUUAAUUGGUUUUGAAACUCCUAGAUCUUUGAGAUUCAUUGAACUGUUCAAAGGCAUGUUUCAAUCUCGAGUGUGCCCUUCAGGUUUUGUGACUGGGAUGCCGAGGAUCACAAAACAAGGUGUGAAGUAACCAUGCAAAUCACUUGGUACCCUUAAUAAAUUACCCCUCAAUCGAUGUGCCGGUUAACCACACACGCUCCAUCGAUACUAUGAUAAAUAUUAAGUCACCCUUUACCUACCUUGUUAAGUCCAAGUUAGUGUGCCGGUUAACCACACACGCUCCACUAACGACUUAGACAAAGUGUAAAGUGUAAUUUCAUGGAUUAGCACCUUAUUCACAUUUUUCCUAAGUAACUAAGAUUGGGUAUUAUUAAGAGUUUAGUUACUUAGUAUUAUCAUUAAUACUUUUAAUGAAGGGAGAAUUCUAGUCCUGUCAAACCCGUUCGGCUAACGACCCUCCACCAGUCAAGCAAGCGGUGGGUGAGAGUGGACACCCAUUAAGUUGCCAUUUUAUAGGCAACAACCUUAUACCCACCUUAUAGACCGGCUUCGUGAAUGAGGCGUACUAGCGGUAAGACUGACUUUACUCUUAUACAUAUAUAUAUUAUUAACUUAUAAUAUUAUAAAGUAUAAGGGUUGAAUUUUAACUUUUAAAAUUCUAAGGGCUAACUUGGAAUUAAAGUAUUCAUAAGUGAAAACUUUACAAAUUCCAAAACUUGAGGGCAAGUUUUGAAACUAUUCAAAACUAAUUAAUUCCAUAACUUAUGUGUUUAAAGUAGUUUUAAUCCAAAAACUCUUCAAGUUCCAUAACUUGAGGACAAGUUAUGGAAGACUUUAAACUAAUAAAAGAAUUAACUUUUCUUUAUUUUAUAACUUAUGGAAUUAAUUAAGGUUACACUUUUUUUUUUUUUAUUUUAUUUUAUUAAAUGAAGAGACUCUUGGUCCUCCAUAACUUGAGGACAAGUUAUGGAGUCAUAAAACCAUUUAAUUAGAACUAGACUCUUCAUUUUUGUAACCUUUGCCAAUUUUUAUGAGUUUUAUGAUUCUUAAAUGUGACUUUUCAUAUAACUUGAGGACAAGUUACAAAAACACAUUUUAGAAUCAAUUCUUAGAUUAAUUUGGAUUAAAACCAACUAUCACAUAAUUUUAUUCAUUAAUCUAAAUUCACUCAUAAAACAAGGUAACACAAAAAACUUUUGGUGAUCCAUAACUUAUUCUUAAGUUAUGGAAUCCUUUAAAACAUUAACACCAAAUUUUGUAACUCCAAAAAAACUUUGAAUCAAUUUUUUUUUUAAAACCUUUUCAUAUCCAUAACUUAUGGAGGUUUCAAAAAAUAAAACUCUUUAGAUCAAACUUUUAAAACUAAUAAAAUAAUCAUAUUAUUUUAUCUUUUAUUAAAUUUGACCUAAUUCAACUCAUAAAGCAAAUUAUUCAAAUUUUACAAAUAAUUAGUUUUUCACAAGAACAAGUAAUUAUCUUAAAAUUUGACAAACUUCAUGUUUUUUUUUUUUUUUUUUUUCAACUUUGAAAAUAAAAUAUUUGCAUCAAUAUAACAGAAAACAACCCGUGGCUCUGAUACCACUGUUGGGUUUUGAGCAUUCUAACACUCCUAUGGUGUACAUGCAACCCUAUAAACCUUGGAUCUAUGUUUUCUCUAUAAUACAUGCAAAUAAGAACUUUCCAAGGCUUUAAUCCUAACUAGCAUAUUAUGAAGUUCUUAUACUACAAAGUACUAGUUAGAUGACAUACCUUUUGAUGUAGCUUGAUGUCUUCAAGCUUUAAGAGAUUAGCCCCAAUAGUGUGGAAGCCUCAAAUGGAAUCAAAAAUCACCAAAACACCUUGGAAGACUUUAGAGAAUAUGGAUACUUGGUUCUCUCUAGUGAAAUUGGCUAGCCCUUCUUAGUGUACCACACUAGUGCCAAUUUCACCAACCAAGGACAUCUUUAUAUAGUGUGGAGGAUUAGGGUUAAACCCUAAUACCCAUGACCUUUCAUUUCCUAGGAUCCAUGGGUUAAACACUCCAUGGACUAUCCAUGAAAGCUUAGCCCAACCUAAAUGAACUUGGCCC
This 7307-nucleotide long non-coding RNA is filed under the name Lactuca sativa (garden lettuce). RNAcentral describes it as "long non-coding RNA (LSAT_LNC007120)". Lineage: Eukaryota; Viridiplantae; Streptophyta; Magnoliopsida; Asterales; Asteraceae. The record is from RNAcentral.